Molecule: ribosomal RNA, 466 nt
Filed under: uncultured bacterium
Lineage: Bacteria
Description: partial 16S ribosomal RNA
Rfam family: Bacterial small subunit ribosomal RNA
Source: RNAcentral
GACGAACGCUGGCGGCGCGCCUAACACAUGCAGGUCGAACGAGCGAGAGAGAGCUUGCUUUCUCGAGCGAGUGGCGAACGGGUGAGUAACGCGUGAGGAACCUGCCUCAAAGAGGGGGACAACAGUUGGAAACGACUGCUAAUACCGCAUAAGCCCACGGUGCCGCAUGGCACCGAGGGAAAAGGAGCAAUCCGCGAUGAGAUGGCCUCGCGUCCGAUUAGCUUGGUGGUGAGGUAAUGGCCCAGCAAUGCGACGAUCGGUAGCCGGACUGGGAGGUGGAAACGCUAGAAUGGGGAUGAGACACGGACCAGAAUCCUACGGAAGGGAGGAGUGGGGAACAUAGCACGAGGGAGGAAACUCUGAUGCAGCGGCGUGGGGUGGAGGGAGAAGGUGUUCGGAAUGUAAACUCCUGUUGUAGGGGAAGAUAAUGACGGUACCCAACAAGGAAGCAACGGCUAACUACGUA